RNAcentral lists this ribosomal RNA (230 nucleotides) under uncultured bacterium. RNAcentral's name for it is "partial 16S ribosomal RNA". It matches the Rfam family "Bacterial small subunit ribosomal RNA", at positions 562 to 791 of the family's 1533-position model. The record is from RNAcentral.
AAAGGGUCCGUAGGCGGAUCUGUAAGUCAGUGGUGAAAUCUCACAGCUUAACUGUGAAACUGCCAUUGAUACUGCAGGUCUUGAGUGUUGUUGAAGUAGCUGGAAUAAGUAGUGUAGCGGUGAAAUGCAUAGAUAUUACUUAGAACACCAAUUGCGAAGGCAGGUUACUAAGCAACAACUGACGCUGAUGGACGAAAGCGUGGGGAGCGAACAGGAUUAGAUACCCUAGU